Long non-coding RNA from Nematostella vectensis (starlet sea anemone), 695 nucleotides. RefSeq lists it as uncharacterized. The record is from RefSeq and is a predicted model, not a curated record. Lineage: Eukaryota; Metazoa; Cnidaria; Anthozoa; Actiniaria; Edwardsiidae. The transcript has 3 exons.
CGUCUUCUUCGAUCGGUGCAAGAAGAAGCAAAAAGUCGGUUAUCUUGUUCUUCUGUAUUCCCGUUGAAAUCCCUCAGCAUUUGCAAGCAACAGAGGCGAAAGAUUGAAGUUAAGAGUUUACUGAAGCUUUUAAUUGGUGUAGAGGGAGCUGUAUUGUACUAAAAAGAUCCCAAGAAGAGAACGAGACUUGUGGCAUGUCGUCACUUAGCUCAGUCUUCAAAUUCCAGCACAUUUUUAUGACAAGGCCGCCGUAUAACUCAUGCAAACGACCCCGCCUGGAAAAUCUACUGUAUCCAAAGUUCAUAUCGAUGGAAGAUCCGUCACAGAUUACUCAGCAUCCUUCUUCCUCCAAACAUCAAGUCUUUGCCAGUUUUUAUUGAAAUAUUAUUUUCAACAUCCCAGCCCUGGGCUUCAGUAAUCAGAUUUGUAGCAAGUACAUCAGUAAUACGCAAGAGUGAGUGUAGCUCAUCUGUGACAACAUGAUCUAGACUGAUGUCCAGCAAGGGUCCACUGAUACAUCCAAAGUUGUAUUUUACACCAAGCACAAGAAUAAUUUCCUGUGCCAUUGUUUAGUCAAAGGAUAAGAAGGAUGUAUUUAUAAUCUGCUCCCAGGAAAUGUUUAGUUUUAUAAUUCUCCUCUCCAACUGUAGUUUCUUUAAUCAUACUAUUUAAUUCAUUAAAAUAACUCCAAAUGA